UGAGGAAUAUUGGUCAAUGGGCGGGAGCCUGAACCAGCCAAGUCGCGUGAGGGAAGACGGUCCUAUGGAUUGUAAACCUCUUUUGUCGGGGAGCAAAAGAGGCCACGUGUGGUCAAAAGCGAGAGUACCCGAAGAAAAAGCAUCGGCUAACUCCGUGCCAA
This 161-nucleotide ribosomal RNA is filed under the name uncultured bacterium. RNAcentral's name for it is "partial 16S ribosomal RNA". It matches the Rfam family "Bacterial small subunit ribosomal RNA", at positions 355 to 511 of the family's 1533-position model. The record is from RNAcentral.